AAGAGGGGUUACGGUGAGUUCUUCCAGGCAAAGAGGAUUUUGUCUGGAAGUCCUCUUUGAGCAAAGACAUGGAGUCCACAUGAGCAAAGACAUGGAGGAGAAAAACGGCAUGGCACGAAGGGAACUGCAGUCACUAUUCCAGAUUCUGGGAACCAAACACGUACCAAAAAAUCCCUACCAUCAUGAAGCUGAGGUUCUAGUGGGGAACAGAGAAAACACGCAAAACAGCGCAUAAUCGAAGAUAACCAGAUUUCAUGAGGGGAAAAUACACCAUGAAUGGUAACAAGCAGAAAUGGAUCUCAAGGACUCCAGACAUGGAAAUUAUCAGACACUGACUGUAAUAUAAUUAUGCUUCCUAUGUUUAAGGAGAUUAAAAGUCAUGCCUGAAAAUUCUGUAAGGAGACUGGAAACUAUACAAAGUAACUGUGUCAGUCAUGUCUAGUCCUGAAUAUGAUGGCAUAAUCUAGGUGGUUAGAGGGGAGUUUAACUAAGCGAUGCUUUUAUUUUUAUUUUCAUCAUUUUUUGAGACAGGCUCUGGCUCAGUCACCCAGGCUGGAGUGCAGUUGCAUGAUCUUGGCUCACUGCAACCUCUGCCUCCCAGGUUCGAGCCAUUCUCAUGCCUCAGCCCCCCAAGUAGCUGGGAUUACAGGCAUGUGCCACCAGGCCCAGCUAAUUUUUGUAUUUUUAGUAGAGACAGGGUUUCACCAUGUUGGCCAGGCAGGUCUCAAACUCCUGACCUCAAGUGAUCCACCCAUCUUGGCCUCCCAAAGUGCUGGGAUUACAGGCAUGAGCCACUGCACCUGGCCAGAUGCUUUUAACAGAAUGAAAAGAGUAUAGGGAAACUACAAGAGAUACUCUAGAGCUAGUACCCUGGAGUAAGUAACAGUGGAGUGCUAUUACUAUCCCAAGGCCUGAAGGGGAAGGAGAAGAAAUGGUUACUGGAACUAAGAAGAGUGGACCUAGGUGAAGAGUACCACCUGGUAGAAAUUAUGAUGUUCACUGAAGGACACGGUCAACCUGGGUGACCACUCAGGGCAGAAGCUGGGCAAAUACAUACCAAAACUUCAUUCUUCUCCUUCCUUCCAAUCUACUGCAGGUACUCCCCACAGGCUGAAAUCAGCCAGAAGCCAAAAAUAAGGAGCCAUCAAAACAGGUCAAGAAACCUCCCAGCACACAGAAAAGGGUGAAGAAGCAGAGUUAUUCUGGAGGGACAAAUAGAAGGCACCUGGCACAGUGAAGUCACAUAUUUGAAAAAGAACUAAACACAAAUUCCAAAACUGGGAAAUACAAUGAUAAAAUUAAUAAUUCAAUGGUCAGGUUUAAUAGCAGAUUCAAUACAACCAAAGAGAGAAUUAGUAAACUAGAAAACAGGUCAGAAGAAACUAUGUAAAAUUAACAGAGAAUAAAAGCAAGAUGAGAGAAGAGAGAUAACGGGGCAAAGUUAAUAUCCACAAAUAAGUAGUUGGUAAUUUUCCAGGGCAUUGAGAAAACAUCAAUCCACAGAUUCAAUAAGUCCAAUGAACCUCAAGUCUACACUCAUACUCAUUAUAGUGACCCUGCAGAGACAGAGAGGAGUCAGGGAUGAUGGUAAGGAUAACAGGCAAAUGGAAACUAAUGG
RNAcentral lists this long non-coding RNA (1618 nucleotides) under Homo sapiens (human). Its description in RNAcentral is "HSALNT0331021". Lineage: Eukaryota; Metazoa; Chordata; Mammalia; Primates; Hominidae. The record is from RNAcentral.